Molecule: small RNA, 89 nt
Filed under: insect gut metagenome
Description: Gammaprotebacteria rimP leader
Rfam family: Gammaprotebacteria rimP leader
Source: RNAcentral
GUUAUACAGGGUUCAGUUAUAUAAAGCCCCGAUUUAUCGGGGUUUUUUGUUAUCUGACGAGCAAUAACUGGGCUAUAUGCCCUUUUUUU